This 480-nucleotide unclassified non-coding RNA is filed under the name Rhodotorula toruloides. The record is from RNAcentral. Lineage: Eukaryota; Fungi; Basidiomycota; Microbotryomycetes; Sporidiobolales; Sporidiobolaceae.
CCCGCCCAACCCACUUUAUCUGACUCUCCGUGAGUCUCCCCUCCCUUCCGACCUCGGCGCAGACGGUCAGGAUGGGCUGCGCUCGCAGCACAAUGCAUGUGUCCGAAGUUCAGGACCUCCGCCGGCUCUUUCGAGUCGGCGAGACGAGGUCGCUCAACCCAUCCUGCUCGUAAUUCGGCGUCCAGCUUGCUGCUGAUCUGCUUCACCCGGCGAAUGCGAGCCUCUGCUGCUUCAGAUUGUUCGCCGCUGCUUUCCUGACUGCUCGAUGCCGACUUGCUGCUAACUUACGUCUUGCCGACUUCUCCGUCUUGCUUGGCUCGGAUCGUCCUGCUACUGCUCAUUCCGCCGCUUCUCGACGAUGCUCGGCGCUGGCCUGACUUAAUCCGACUACUGCUCUCCGGCUUCACCCAAGCCGUCUCUGUCCUCGCUCGCGUCUCUCGCUUCCGUAUGGACUGCAAUGUCAACUGCAGCUGUCACCGC